GACAGAGGGUGCAAACGUUGUUCGGAAUUACUGGGCGUAAAGCGCGUGUAGGCGGCAGCGUGUGUCGGGCGUGAAAUCCCAUGGCUUAACUGGGAGGGGUCGCUCGAUACUGGCGAGCUCGAGGCAGGUAGGGGGAAGCGGAAUUCCUGGUGUAGCGGUGGAAUGCGCAGAUAUCAGGAGGAACACCAAUAGCGAAGGCAGCUCGCUGGGACGUUACUGACACUGAGGCGCGAAAGCGUGGGGAGCGAACAGG
This 253-nucleotide ribosomal RNA is filed under the name uncultured bacterium. RNAcentral's name for it is "partial 16S ribosomal RNA". It matches the Rfam family "Bacterial small subunit ribosomal RNA", at positions 524 to 776 of the family's 1533-position model. The record is from RNAcentral.